This is an RNA transcript of Scatophagus argus, 4480 nucleotides long. It is a transcript of the gene named SUN domain-containing protein 3-like, with no coding region annotated. The transcript has 14 exons. The record is from RefSeq and is a predicted model, not a curated record. Lineage: Eukaryota; Metazoa; Chordata; Actinopteri; Scatophagidae.
GCCUUGUCCACCCCAAUCUUCAUCAGUCAUGUGACACAGCGCGAAUCUACUGCGGAAAAAAAACUCCUUCAGAAACUACGAUACUACGACAGCGAAGGCAACCCAACCAUUUCCUACAAGGAGACAGUGUUUAGGAUUUUUAGAAGACGCAAGAACCAUUUCUGGGAUCAGAGAAGAGAAACCACUGAAACUGUAAUCAACAACGAAAACACUGGCGACAACUUAAACGGCAACAGCAACAACUACAGCAGACGGCCCAACAUGUCCAUUCGAAAGAUUUUUGGCAUUUUCCUCUUCAUAUUCCCAAAGUUGUUUUCCACAUACCGUCAUAUCUAAUACACCAGCUUGUGCUUUUUGUAGAAUUUCUGUCCUCUGGAAUUUGUUUCUGUCCAUCCUUCUAUUAGGACUUGCAUACGUGAUUCCAACCCUGAGCUGCAGCUUUCUGGAUUUGGGAGUCCCAUAUUCACCAGUGUCACCCACCUACAUUAAUAUGGAGUUGAAUGUGGGAAAUGAAGACCAGAUGAAGCACCUGAGAAACAUGGAGGAAGAGUUGCUGAGGCUGCAAAAACAUGUGAACAACCUGAGAAAGAUGGAGGAAGAGUUGCUGAGGCUGCAAAAACAAAUGAACGACCUAUCACCGGAUGUGGACGCUUGGCCCGACUUUGUUCUUCAGAGUCCUUUUCAGUUUAUGGAAGUAUCAGAUGUUACAUUGUCAGACUGCAGACAUCCUAUGUGCCUCCAUGGGAAGCUGGCAGAGUAAAGAUGGAAAUGAAUAGAAGGUUAGUAUAUGAGGUAAGUAUUUGUAAAGGUGAAUCAGACUCCAAACAUAUGUGGUUAAUUGGCUUAAUUAAACUUUGUGCUUUGGGAUUUGCAGUCCUGAAAACAGCAGCAAAUGUUUGUGUUGAUUUAGUGUCAUUGGGUGUGAUUGGGCGGAUGUUUGGGUGGGUGGGUAUGGUGAAGUGUGGUGAUACUCCAUACUUCAUCAUGCUUCUUCCCAGUGAACCUGCCGCCUGAACAGAAGCUGUUGGAGGCUCCAUGUGGAUCAGAGGAGACACUUGGCUGUCUGCACAGCAGACUGGAUGGAUCGGACAUUUGCUGCUAUUUUCUUUCACUCCAAAUUCACACACAAAACACAAUGCGUCAUCUCUUCCGUGUUCCCAGAUGUUUCAGUCUAAUUCACCUAUACCUCUUUUCGGGUUUUCUCCGGGUACUCCGGUUCGCCCACACUUAUUAUGCUUACCUUAAAAAAAAAAAAAAAAAAACAAAAAAAAAAAAACAGGUUUUUGUUGUACAGAGACAGAAACCUCUGAUUCCAGGACGUUGCUAGGCUUUUGCAGGUGGGCGUGGACAUUUAUUCAUGGCCUUGUCCACCCCAAUCUUCAUCAGUCAUGUGACACAGCGCGAAUCUACUGCGGAAAAAAAACUCCUUCAGAAACUACGAUACUACGACAGCGAAGGCAACCCAACCAUUUCCUACAAGGAGACAGUGUUUAGGAUUUUUAGAAGACGCAAGAACCAUUUCUGGGAUCAGAGAAGAGAAACCACUGAAACUGUAAUCAACAACGAAAACACUGGCGACAGCUUAAACGGCAACAGCAACAACUACAGCAGACGGCCCAACAUGUCCAUUCGAAAGAUUUUUGACAUUUUCCUCUUCAUAUUCCCAAAGUUGUUUUCCACAUACCGUCAUAUCUAAUACACCAGCUUGUGCUUUUUGUAGAAUUUCUGUCCUCUGGAAUUUGUUUCUGUCCAUCCUUCUAUUAGGACUUGCAUACGUGAUUCCAACCCUGUGCUGCAGCUUUCUGGAUUUGGGAGUCCCAUAUUCACCAGUGUCACCCACCUACAUUAAUAUGGAGUUGAAUGUGGGAAAUGAAGACCAGAUGAAGCACCUGAGAAACAUGGAGGAAGAGUUGCUGAGGCUGCAAAAACAUGUGAAGCACCUGAGAAACAUGGAGGAAGAGUUGCUGAGGCUGCAAAAACAUGUGACGCACCUGAGAAACAUGGAGGAAGAGUUGCUGAGGCUGAUAAAACAAAUGAACGACCUAUCACCGGAUGUGGACGCUUGGCCCGACUUUGUUCUUCAGGACUUGCAUACGUGAUUCCAACCCUGAGCUGCAGCUUUCUGGAUUUGGGAGUCCCAUAUUCACCAGUGUCACCCACCUACAUUAAUAUGGAGUUGAAUGUGGGAAAUGAAGACCAGAUGAAGCACCUGAGAAACAUGGAGGAAGAGUUGCUGAGGCUGAAAAAACAAAUGAACGACCUAUCACCGGAUGUGGACGCUUGGCCCGACUUUGUUCUUCAGAGUCCUUUUCAGUUUAUGGAAGUAUCAGAUGUUACAUUGUCAGACUGCAGACAUCCUAUGUGCCUCCAUGGGAAGCUGGCAGAGUAAAGAUGGAAAUGAAUAGAAGGUUAGUAUAUGAGGUAAGUAUUUGUAAAGGUGAAUCAGACUCCAAACAUAUGUGGUUAAUUGGCUUAAUUAAACUUUGUGCUUUGGGAUUUGCAGUCCUGAAAACAGCAGCAAAUGUUUGUGUUGAUUUAGUGUCAUUGGGUGUGAUUGGGCGGAUGUUUGGGUGGGUGGGUAUGGUGAAGUGUGGUGAUACUCCAUACUUCAUCAUGCUUCUUCCCAGUGAACCUGCCGCCUGAACAGAAGCUGUUGGAGGCUCCAUGUGGAUCAGAGGAGACACUUGGCUGUCUGCACAGCAGACUGGAUGGAUCGGACAUUUGCUGCUAUUUUCUUUCACUCCAAAUUCACACACAAAACACAAUGCGUCAUCUCUUCCGUGUUCCCAGAUGUUUUCAGUCUAAUUCACCUAUACCUCUUUUUGGGUUUUCUCCGGGUACUCCGGUUCGCCCACACUUAUUAUGCUUACCUUAAAAAAAACAAAAAAAAAAAACAGGUUUUUGUUGUACAGAGACAGAAACCUCUGAUUCCAGGACGUUGCUAGGCUUUUGCAGGUGGGCGUGGACAUUUAUUCAUGGCCUUGUCCAACCCAAUCUUCAUCAGUCAUGUGACACAGCGCGAAUCUACUGCGGAAAAAAAACUCCUUCAGAAACUACGAUACUACGACAGCGAAGGCAACCCAACCAUUUCCUACAAGGAGACAGUGUUUAGGAUUUUUAGAAGACGCAAGAACCAUUUCUGGGAUCAGAGAAGAGAAACCACUGAAACUGUAAUCAACAACGAAAACACUGGCGACAACUUAAACGGCAACAGCAACAACUACAGCAGACGGCCCAACAUGUUCAUUCGAAAGAUUUUUGACAUUUUCCUCUUCAUAUUCCCAAAGUUGUUUUCCACAUACCGUCAUAUCUAAUACACCAGCUUGUGCUUUUUGUAGAAUUUCUGUGCUCUGAAAUUUGUUUCUGUCCAUCCUUCUAUUAGGACUUGCAUACGUGAUUCCAACCCUGAGCUGCAGCUUUCUGGAUUUGGGAGUCCCAUAUUCACCAGUGUCACCCACCUACAUUAGUAUGGAGUUGAAUGUGGGAAAUGAAGACCAGAUGAAGCACCUGAGAAACAUGGAGGAAGAGUUGCUGAGGCUGCAAAAACAUGUGAACGACCUGAGAAACAUGGAGGAAGAGUUGCUGAGGCUGCAAAAACAAAUGAACGACCUAUCACCGGAUGUGGACGCUUGGCCCGACUUUGUUCUUCAGGACUUGCAUACGUGAUUCCAACCCUGAGCUGCAGCUUUCUGGAUUUGGGAGUCCCAUAUUCACCAGUGUCACCCACCUACAUUAAUAUGGAGUUGAAUGUGGGAAAUGAAGACCAGAUGAAGCACCUGAGAAACAUGGAGGAAGAGUUGCUGAGGCUGAAAAAACAAAUGAACGACCUAUCACCGGAUGUGGACGCUUGGCCCGACUUUGUUCUUCAGAGUCCUUUUCAGUUUAUGGAAGUAUCAGAUGUUACAUUGUCAGACUGCAGACAUCCUAUGUGCCUCCAUGGGAAGCUGGCAGAGUAAAGAUGGAAAUGAAUAGAAGGUUAGUAUAUGAGGUAAGUAUUUGUAAAGGUGAAUCAGACUCCAAACAUAUGUGGUUAAUUGGCUUAAUUAAACUUUGUGCUUUGGGAUUUGCAGUCCUGAAAACAGCAGCAAAUGUUUGUGUUGAUUUAGUGUCAUUGGGUGUGAUUGGGCGGAUGUUUGGGUGGGUGGGUAUGGUGAAGUGUGGUGAUACUCCAUACUUCAUCAUGCUUCUUCCCAGUGAACCUGCCGCCUGAACAGAAGCUGUUGGAGGCUCCAUGUGGAUCAGAGGAGACACUUGGCUGUCUGCACAGCAGACUGGAUGGAUCGGACAUUUGCUGCUAUUUUCUUUCACUCCAAAUUCACACACAAAACACAAUGCGUCAUCUCUUCCGUGUUCCCAGAUGUUUUCAGUCUAAUUCACAUUAUACCUCUUUUUGGGUUUUCUCCGGGUACUCCGGUUCGCCCACACUUAUUAUGCUUACCUUAAAAAAAAAAAAAAAAAAAAAAAAAAACAGGUUUUUGUU